CUUGCUGCUUCGCUGACGAGUGGCGGACGGGUGAGUAAUGUCUGGGAAACUGCCUGAUGGAGGGGGAUAACUACUGGAAACGGUAGCUAAUACCGCAUAACGUCGCAAGACCAAAGAGGGGGACCUUCGGGCCUCUUGCCAUCGGAUGUGCCCAGAUGGGAUUAGCUAGUAGGUGGGGUAACGGCUCACCUAGGCGACGAUCCCUAGCUGGUCUGAGAGGAUGACCAGCCACACUGGAACUGAGACACGGUCCAGACUCCUACGGGAGGCAGCAGUGGGGAAUAUUGCACAAUGGGCGCAAGCCUGAUGCAGCCAUGCCGCGUGUAUGAAGAAGGCCUUCGGGUUGUAAAGUACUUUCAGCGGGGAGGAAGGCGACAGGGUUAAUAACCCUGUCGAUUGACGUUACCCGCAGAAGAAGCACCGGCUAACUCCGUGCCAGCAGCCGCGGUAAUACGGAGGGUGCAAGCGUUAAUCGGAAUUACUGGGCGUAAAGCGCACGCAGGCGGUCUGUCAAGUCGGAUGUGAAAUCCCCGGGCUCAACCUGGGAACUGCAUUCGAAACUGGCAGGCUAGAGUCUUGUAGAGGGGGGUAGAAUUCCAGGU
Molecule: ribosomal RNA, 602 nt
Filed under: Enterobacter sp. DgG7
Lineage: Bacteria; Pseudomonadati; Pseudomonadota; Gammaproteobacteria; Enterobacterales; Enterobacteriaceae
Description: bacterial SSU rRNA
Rfam family: Bacterial small subunit ribosomal RNA
Source: RNAcentral